UAGGGAAUAUUGGUCAAUGGAUGCAAGUCUGAACCAGCCAUGCCGCGUGCAGGAAGAAGGCCUUCUGGGUUGUAAACUGCUUUUGUCAGGGGAUAAAAUGGGCGUGCGCGCUUAAUUGAAGGUACCUGGCGAAUAAGCCACGGCUAACUACGUGCCAGCAGCCGCGGUAAUACGUAGGUGGCAAGCGUUGUCCGGAUUUAUUGGGUUUAAAGGGUGCGUAGGCGGUCCCAUAAGUCAGUGGUGAAAUACUCUAGCUUAACUAGAGGGGUGCCAUUGAUACUGCGGGACUUGAGUGGAGUUGAAGUGGGCGGAAUUGACGGUGUAGCGGUGAAAUGCUUAGAUAUCGUCAAGAACACCGAUAGUGAAGACAGCUCACUAAGCUCAAACUGACGCUGAGGCACGAAAGUGUGGGGAUCAAACAG
This 422-nucleotide ribosomal RNA is filed under the name uncultured bacterium. Its description in RNAcentral is "bacterial SSU rRNA". It matches the Rfam family "Bacterial small subunit ribosomal RNA", at positions 355 to 775 of the family's 1533-position model. The record is from RNAcentral.